This 259-nucleotide long non-coding RNA is filed under the name Elaeis guineensis (African oil palm). Its description in RNAcentral is "long non-coding RNA (EGUI_LNC057362)". Lineage: Eukaryota; Viridiplantae; Streptophyta; Magnoliopsida; Arecales; Arecaceae. The record is from RNAcentral.
GUGGAGCAGAGUCGUGGCUGUUGUUGCGGCCUGCCAGGGGGUCCAGGCCUAUCGGUCGGAGUUCAGUUGGGGUGUUUGACGGGGAGAUGUGACUGGCUACCCGUCUGAGAGGAGCUUGGAGUACGGCUCUCGCAGGAGCCCGGAUGGAGUCUUCUUUCCAUUGAAGUCGGGGACGAAAUCUGGCUCCCGUAGGAGCCCGGGCGAAGUCUACCUGCAGCUUGGGUCGUGGGCGGAGUCCGGCUCCCGUAGGAGUCCGGGC